GAUCAAGUGACUAAGUGCACAUGGUGGAUGCCUUGGC
RNAcentral lists this ribosomal RNA (37 nucleotides) under Taylorella equigenitalis. RNAcentral's name for it is "partial 23S ribosomal RNA". Lineage: Bacteria; Pseudomonadati; Pseudomonadota; Betaproteobacteria; Burkholderiales; Alcaligenaceae. The record is from RNAcentral.